UCUACGGGAGGCAGCAGUAGGGAAUCUUCCGCAAUGGACGAAAGUCUGACGGAGCAACGCCGCGUGAGUGAUGAAGGUUUUCGGAUCGUAAAACUCUGUUGUUAGGGAAGAACAAGUACCGUUCGAAUAGGGCGGCACCUUGACGGUACCUAACCAGAAAGCCACGGCUAACUACGUGCCAGCAGCCGCGGUAAUA
This 196-nucleotide ribosomal RNA is filed under the name uncultured bacterium. RNAcentral's name for it is "partial 16S ribosomal RNA". It matches the Rfam family "Bacterial small subunit ribosomal RNA", at positions 338 to 525 of the family's 1533-position model. The record is from RNAcentral.